UACAGAGGGUGCAAGCGUUAAUCGGAAUUACUGGGCGUAAAGCGUGCGCAGGCGGUUUUGUAAGCCAGAUGUGAAAUCCCCGGGCUUAACCUGGGAAUGGCAUUUGGGACUGCAAGGCUCGAGUGCGGCAGAGGAGACUGGAAUUCCUGGUGUAGCAGUGAAAUGCGUAGAUAUCAGGAGGAACACCGAUGGCGAAGGCAGGUCUCUGGGCUGACACUGACGCUCAUGCACGAAAGCGUGGGGAGCAAACAGGAUUAGAAGUACCCGA
RNAcentral lists this ribosomal RNA (268 nucleotides) under uncultured bacterium. Its description in RNAcentral is "partial 16S ribosomal RNA". It matches the Rfam family "Bacterial small subunit ribosomal RNA", at positions 524 to 790 of the family's 1533-position model. The record is from RNAcentral.